This 475-nucleotide ribosomal RNA is filed under the name Callismilax sp. GJK-2014. Its description in RNAcentral is "partial 16S ribosomal RNA". It matches the Rfam family "Bacterial large subunit ribosomal RNA", at positions 1808 to 2554 of the family's 2925-position model. The record is from RNAcentral. Lineage: Eukaryota; Metazoa; Arthropoda; Insecta; Coleoptera; Tenebrionidae.
CAAAAACAUGUCCUUUUGUUUAUGAUUUAAGGUCAGGCCUGCCCAAUGAUUAUUUUAAAUGGCCGCAGUAUUUUGACUGUGCAAAGGUAGCAUAAUCAUUAGUUUCUUAAUUAGAAGCUAGAAUGAAUGGUUUGAUGAAAAAUUAACUGUCUCUAUUUAAAUGAUUUUGAAUUUUAUUUUUAAGUGAAAAAGCUUAAAUUUAUUAUAAAGACGAGAAGACCCUAUAGAGUUUUAUAUUCUUAAUUAUUAAUUUUUUUAGGUUUUAUUUUAUUUUAAUAAUUGUGAUUAUUUUGUUGGGGUGAUGUCAAAAUUUAAUUAACUUUUGUUUUUGAAAACAUUUAUUUAUGAGUUGUUGAUCCUAAAAUUUAGAUUAUAAGAAAAAAUUACCUUAGGGAUAACAGCGUAAUUUUUUUGGAAAGUUCAUAUUGAUAAAAAAGUUUGCGACCUCGAUGUUGGAUUAAAAUUUAGUUUGGGU